AUUUGUGUAUUUCGAGAUCAUGAGAAAUGUGAAACGAAGCUUUGUUGUUGAUCUAAAUCAAUGUGUUCGUGAAGUAAAGGAUUGCAGUCAACAUACUGCGUAAGAGCGAAGGUCGUUUGGGGGGUGAUAACAAUGCGGACUUUUCGUCGACUCAGAUGUCUUUAUGUUCCAGCACGAAAGGUUACUAAAUUUUUGGCAAAUUCGGAUCGGACCAUCGGUAUGACGCAGCGAAGCAUAUUGUUCCAUGCCGGCGAUUUGCAAUAUUCCAUUCAGGCUAGGCAUGCUGCCCUGGCUGGGACUAUUCAAAGGUUGUUUUAGAUCCAGAGCGCUUUUCUGAUUUUGUCCUGAAAAAGUGAUAUUGGAAUAAGGGUGAACGAAAUUUGCUUAAACGGAUGGACAAAAAUAUAAUAAAAUAAAA
This is a long non-coding RNA of Bactrocera tryoni, 418 nucleotides long. RefSeq lists it as uncharacterized. The record is from RefSeq and is a predicted model, not a curated record. The transcript is spliced from 2 exons. Lineage: Eukaryota; Metazoa; Arthropoda; Insecta; Diptera; Tephritidae.